RNAcentral lists this ribosomal RNA (254 nucleotides) under uncultured bacterium. RNAcentral's name for it is "partial 16S ribosomal RNA". It matches the Rfam family "Bacterial small subunit ribosomal RNA", at positions 524 to 776 of the family's 1533-position model. The record is from RNAcentral.
UACAGAGGUCCCGAGCGUUGUUCGGAUUCACUGGGCGUAAAGGGUGCGUAGGUGGUGAGGUAAGUCGGAUGUGAAAUCUCCGAGCUCAACUCGGAAAUGGCAUUGGAAACUACCUUGCUUGAGGGUUGGAGGGGGGACUGGAAUACUUGGGUGUAGCAGUGAAAUGCGUAGAUAUCAAGUGGAACACCAGUGGCGAAGGCGAGUCCCUGGACAACUCCUGACACUGAGGCACGAAAGCGUGGGGAGCAAACAGG